Molecule: long non-coding RNA, 874 nt
Filed under: Olea europaea (common olive)
Lineage: Eukaryota; Viridiplantae; Streptophyta; Magnoliopsida; Lamiales; Oleaceae
Description: long non-coding RNA (OEUR_LNC011855)
Source: RNAcentral
GGCUGAAUGAUUUGUUUUUCCAGCCCACUAAGCUCUGAUCCUCGCAAAUCAAUUUCUGCAUUCCCCUAACAAUUCUCAUGAGAUCUUGACCGCCUAAACUUCUAUUCUUAAACAAUAAAAAUCCUCUUGUUAAAAAUUACUCAAAUUUACCAGAAUUAGAGCCCCUUGAUUACGAAAUUUCACCUGCAACAGCUCAAAAUUUCAAUUAAAAAUAAACAAAAUAAUAAAACAGAUGAAAAUUUUAGUGCAUAUUAACCUCUAUAAAACCAAAAAUCACACAACUGAAAUUCAAGAAAGUUUGAAGAGCAAAACACCGACAAGAAGAAUUCAAGAAUCAACCAUGGAAGAUGAAAAAACUGAAUUUCUAUAUACCAACCUAAGCUGAACAAGAAACGAUCCUAAAAAUAUGGAAAAGGAAAUUUCGAAUAACUGAAUAGAAGGGUAAAGUAAGAUACUCUAUAACACCAAAUAAUUCCAGGAAAACCACUUCACACGUAUCAACAGAAAAAUCAAACCCCAAGGUAAGAAUAUAAUCCAAGAUUGGAAUUGAACGCAUCGAUAUUUAAAAAAAGGAGCAUUGAUAAAAAUUAAUCCGACUUUAAGAUUCGAGAUUCAUCUAAAAUCAGAGGUUUAAUUAAUUAAACAAAAAAAAAAUACACCAUAACGAAUAUCCCAUGUUUUAAAUAUGAUCCUUACACGGAUAUCUAUAUACGGCAGGUUAAUUGAAAUGAAAAGGAAAACCCUAGAGUUGACCCACCAUAACGAGUGAAGUAACUCACCAGCGUCAAGCAAAAAAUCCGAGUUGACGAUGUAGCGGAACAGGGAGUGUUGGGCUGUCUAGGGUUUAUAUGGAGCGGAGCGAACUUGGAGACGA